AUACUUACCUGGGAGGGGAGAUUCCAUGAUCACAAAGGUGGUUUUCCCAGAGCAAGGCUCACCCAUUGCACUCUGAGUGUGCUGACCCCUGCCAUUUCCCAAAUGUGGGAAACCCAACUGCAUGAUUUGUGGUAGUGAGGGACUGUGUUUGCGCUCUCCCUGU
Molecule: small nuclear RNA, 163 nt
Organism: Ochotona princeps (American pika)
Lineage: Eukaryota; Metazoa; Chordata; Mammalia; Lagomorpha; Ochotonidae
Product: U1 spliceosomal RNA
Exons: 1
Source: RefSeq, a predicted model, not a curated record